RNAcentral lists this ribosomal RNA (221 nucleotides) under uncultured bacterium. Its description in RNAcentral is "partial 16S ribosomal RNA". It matches the Rfam family "Bacterial small subunit ribosomal RNA", at positions 111 to 334 of the family's 1533-position model. The record is from RNAcentral.
UAAUGUAUGGGGAUCUGCCCGAUAGAGGGGGAUAACUACUGGAAACGGUGGCUAAUACCGCAUAAUGUCUACGGACCAAAGCAGGGGCGUCUUCGGACCUUGCGCUAUCGGAUGAACCCAUAUGGGAUUAGCUAGUAGGUGGGGUAAAGGCUCACCUAGGCGACGAUCUCUAGCUGGUCUGAGAGGAUGAUCAGCCACACUGGGACUGAGACACGGCCCAG